This 198-nucleotide ribosomal RNA is filed under the name uncultured bacterium. Its description in RNAcentral is "partial 16S ribosomal RNA". It matches the Rfam family "Bacterial small subunit ribosomal RNA", at positions 1303 to 1500 of the family's 1533-position model. The record is from RNAcentral.
AGCUGCAACUCGAGUGCAUGAAGCUGGAAUCGCUAGUAAUCGCGGAUCAGAAUGCCGCGGUGAAUACGUUCCCGGGUCUUGUACACACCGCCCGUCACACCAUGGGAGCCGGUAACGCCCGAAGUCAGUGGCCCAACCGAGAGGGGGGAGCUGCCGAAGGCGGGACUGGUAACUGGGGUGAAGUCGUAACAAGGUAAC